This 498-nucleotide ribosomal RNA is filed under the name uncultured bacterium. RNAcentral's name for it is "partial 16S ribosomal RNA". It matches the Rfam family "Bacterial small subunit ribosomal RNA", at positions 29 to 507 of the family's 1533-position model. The record is from RNAcentral.
AGCGAACGCUGGCGGCGUGCCUAACACAUGCAAGUCGAACGUGAAAAGGGAAACGUGAGUAAAGUGGCGUACGGGUGAGUAACGCGUAGGGAAUCUACCGCAGAAUCUGGAAUAACCUGCCGAAAGGCGGGCUAAUACUGGAUAGAGCGAGUGAACUCGUAAGAGAGGUUUUCGGGAAAGGGAGCCCGCAAGGGCCUUCGUUCUGGGAUGAGCCUGCGUCUCAUUAGCUAGUUGGUAAGGUGACGGCUUACCAAGGCGAUGAUGAGUAGCUGGUCUGAGAGGCGGAUCAGCCACACUGGAACUGAAACACGGUCCAGACUCCUACGGGAGGCAGCAGUGGGGAAUCUUGCGCAAUGGACGAAAGUCUGACGCAGCCACGCCGCGUGAGUGAAGAAGGCCUUCGGGUUGUAAAGCUCUGUCGGAUGGGACGAACAUCUUCAUAGUGAAUAGCUAUUAGGACUGACGGUACCAUCAAAGGAAGCACCGGCUAACUCCGUG